This 1383-nucleotide ribosomal RNA is filed under the name uncultured microorganism. RNAcentral describes it as "bacterial SSU rRNA". It matches the Rfam family "Bacterial small subunit ribosomal RNA", at positions 8 to 1383 of the family's 1533-position model. The record is from RNAcentral.
AGAGUUUGAUCCUGGCUCAGAUUGAACGCUAGCGGGAUGCUUUACACAUGCAAGUCGAACGGCAGCGCGAGAGAGCUUGCUCUCUUGGCGGCGAGUGGCGGACGGGUGAGUAAUAUAUCGGAACGUGCCCAGUAGCGGGGGAUAACUACUCGAAAGAGUGGCUAAUACCGCAUACGCCCUACGGGGGAAAGGGGGGGAUCGCAAGACCUCUCACUGUUGGAGCGGCCGAUAUCGGAUUAGCUAGUUGGUGGGGUAAAGGCUCACCAAGGCAACGAUCCGUAGCUGGUUUGAGAGGACGACCAGCCACACUGGGACUGAGACACGGCCCAGACUCCUACGGGAGGCAGCAGUGGGGAAUUUUGGACAAUGGGGGAAACCCUGAUCCAGCCAUCCCGCGUGUAUGAUGAAGGCCUUCGGGUUGUAAAGUACUUUUGGCAGAGAAGAAAAGGUACCUCCUAAUACGAGGUACUGCUGACGGUAUCUGCAGAAUAAGCACCGGCUAACUACGUGCCAGCAGCCGCGGUAAUACGUAGGGUGCAAGCGUUAAUCGGAAUUACUGGGCGUAAAGCGUGUGUAGGCGGUUCGGAAAGAAAGAUGUGAAAUCCCAGGGCUCAACCUUGGAACUGCAUUUUUAACUGCCGAGCUAGAGUAUGUCAGAGGGGGGUAGAAUUCCACGUGUAGCAGUGAAAUGCGUAGAUAUGUGGAGGAAUACCGAUGGCGAAGGCAGCCCCCUGGGAUAAUUCUGACGCUCAGACACGAAAGCGUGGGGAAGCAAACAGGAUUAGAUACCCUGGUAGUCCACGCCAUAAAAGAUGUCAACUAGCUGUUGGGGCCGUUAGGCCUUAGUAGCGCAGCUAACGCGUGAAGUUGACCGCCUGGGGAGUACGGUCGCAAGAUUAAAACUCAAAGGAAUGGUUCGGGGACCCGCACAAGCGGUGGAUGAUGUGUAUUAAUUCGAUGCAACGCGAAAAACCUUACCUACCCUUGACAUGUCUGGAAAGCAGAAGAGAUGUGGCCGUGCUCGCAAGAGAACCGGAACACAGGUGCUGCAUGGCUGUCGUCAGCUAGAGUCGUGAGAUGUUGUGGUUAAGUCCGACAACGAGCGCAACCCUGGUCAUUAGUUGAUACGCAAGAACAGUUUAAUGAGACUGCCGGUGACAAACCGGAGGAAGGUGGGGAUGACGUCAAGUCCUCAUGGCCCUAAUGGGUAGGGCUUCACAGGUCAUACAAGGGUAGGGACAGAGGGUCGCCAACCCGCGAGGGGGAGCCAAUCUCAGAAACCCGAUGGUAGUCCGGAUAGCAGUGAGCAACUCGACUGCGAGAAGUCAGAAUCGCUAGUAAUCGCGGAUCAGAAUGUCGCGAAGAAUACGAUCGCGGGUCUUG